This 509-nucleotide ribosomal RNA is filed under the name Plesionika ensis. RNAcentral describes it as "partial 16S ribosomal RNA". It matches the Rfam family "Archaeal large subunit ribosomal RNA", at positions 1925 to 2666 of the family's 2987-position model. Lineage: Eukaryota; Metazoa; Arthropoda; Malacostraca; Decapoda; Pandalidae. The record is from RNAcentral.
UGUAUGAUUAGUUUUAUAAGUCUAGCCUGCCCACUGAAUUUAUUUAAAGGGCCGCGGUAUUUUGACCGUGCGAAGGUAGCAUAAUCAAUAGUCUCUUAAUUGGGGGCUGGAAUGAAUGGUUGGACAAAGAGUUGACUGUCUCUUUAGCGUUUCUUGAAGUUUACUUUUAAGUGAAAAGGCUUAAAUUUGUUUGGGGGACGAUAAGACCCUAUAAAACUUUUACGGUUUGGUCUGUGCUUCUUGAAAUAAAGUUUAAUAUUGGUUAUAAGCUGUCCGUUGUGUUGGGGUGACAAAGAUAUAAAUUAAUAACUGUCGGUUAAAAGUAAUAAUAAUAAUUAGAUUAAUUGAUCCUUUAUUAGAGAUUAUAAGAUUAAGUUACUUUAGGGAUAACAGCGUAAUUUUCUCUGAGAGUUCUUAUCGACGAGAGUAGUUGCGACCUCGAUGUUGAAUUAAGGUUCCUUUUAAAUGUAGCAGUUUAAUUAGUGGGUCUGUUCGACCUUUAAAACCUU